UACGAGGGGUGCAAGCGUUAAUCGGAAUUACUGGGCGUAAAGGGCGCGUAGGGGGCCUCGUAAGUCGGAUGUGAAAGCCCCGGGCUUAACCUGGGAAUUGCAUUCGAUACUGCCUGGCUCGAGUACAGUAGAGGAGAGCGGAAUUCCAGGUGUAGCGGUGAAAUGCGUAGAUAUCGGGAGGAACAUCAGUGGCGAAGGCGGCUCUCUGGACUGAUACUGACACUGAGGCGCGAAAGCGUGGGGAGCAAACAGG
Molecule: ribosomal RNA, 253 nt
Filed under: uncultured bacterium
Lineage: Bacteria
Description: partial 16S ribosomal RNA
Rfam family: Bacterial small subunit ribosomal RNA
Source: RNAcentral